This 656-nucleotide non-coding RNA is filed under the name Pan troglodytes (chimpanzee). Lineage: Eukaryota; Metazoa; Chordata; Mammalia; Primates; Hominidae. The record is from RNAcentral.
AUAGUCAGCUAACUCCCCGGGACCUGCUUUGGAUCCCUGGAGGGCUGAGGAUUGAAUUCAGGAGCCUAGGGAUUCUCCGGGUCCUGCAGGCAGAGCUCCAACUGGUGGGUGAAAGUUACAAGGAGGCAGGUUUCUGAAGGAAGCCCUGUGUAAUAAUCAGAGCUGCCCAGCCUGUAUCUAAAAGUGGUCAAGAUGCGGGCUGAAGCGUCACGGGUCAGGAAUGCUGCACAGGAGAGUCUACGGACAGGCUAGAUGACCCUUAGCAUGGAGGGAGAGGACCCCCGACGUCUGUGAGCUCUGCAGUGCUCGUGGUUCCCUCAUGGUGGAGCUGCCGAGUGACCCGCUGGCCUCCCUAAGCUGGGCUUGACCAUAGUACGAAGGAAAGAAAAGGCAUCCCAUGGAUGUCUCCUAGUUCCCUCACUGUGGCCCAGUGUUGUAUAUCAACGCCAUCAUGGAUACACCUCCUGUGGGAGGUGAUUAGGCCAUGAGGGUGGAGCCCUCGUGAAUGGAAUUGGUGCCCUUAUAGAAGGGACCCUGGACCCUGGACCUCCACUCCGCAAGGAUACAGUGAGAAGGCAGAACCCAGCCUCAGGUACACUCAUCUCAGACUUUCAGCCUCCUGAACUGUGAGAAAUAAAUGUUUUUUGUCUGUGGUA